UUUCUAUCUCUUCUGUGGUUCCAGGUUCAGCAAGGAGAACAAGGGCAACAUUGAUCCAUAUAUAUACAUGCCCUUUGGAAAUGGACCCAGGAACUGCCUAGGCAUGAGGUUUGCUCUCAUCAGCAUGAAACUUGCUGUCAUAGGAGUCCUGCAGAACUUCACUGUCCAGCCUUGUGAAGAGACACAGAUCCCCCUGAAGAUCAGCAGGGAACCAAUUUUCCAACCAGAAAAACCCAUCAUCCUAAAGGUUGUGUCAAGAGAUAAACCCAGAACUGGAUCAUGAAAUUCUCUUAGAAACCAUGUUAUAUUCCUCAAGGAGACUGUGUCACAGAACAUCAGAGAAUUUAAUUAACCUUAGGACAACAUAAUAUGGGCAUAAACAACUUUCCUUGAUGAUUGAAUAUUCAGAAAUUCACUGAACAUGCUCAGUGGCUCUGCAGUGUAUCAUCUAUUUUGUGAUUCAAAGGAAAUUAUUAACUCAAUGGUAGUUGUGGAUGUUCAUCCUCUGAUUCUUGUGGGAAUGUGUACACUAAUUCAAGUUAGUUCCAUCCAUUCUGAAUUCUAACUGCAGCAACUAUUUCUCUAUAGUUCUAUUAAUAGAAACUGUUGUAAUGAUGGUUAGUAAAUGUGUAUCAAGUUUUCUCUUUGUUAAAAUGUACGGUAUUAAGUGUAUAAAUACAUAUAUCUUAUAAAA
Mus caroli (Ryukyu mouse) is the source of this 694-nucleotide non-coding RNA. The record is from RefSeq and is a predicted model, not a curated record. NCBI's taxonomy places the organism in Eukaryota, Metazoa, Chordata, Mammalia, Rodentia, Muridae.